This 589-nucleotide ribosomal RNA is filed under the name uncultured bacterium. RNAcentral describes it as "bacterial SSU rRNA". It matches the Rfam family "Bacterial small subunit ribosomal RNA", at positions 397 to 980 of the family's 1533-position model. The record is from RNAcentral.
CCGCGUGUGUGAAGAAGGCCUGCGGGUUGUAAGCACUUUUAGUGGGGAGGAAAACCCCUGACCUAAUACGUCAGGAAUUGACUUAACCCAAAGAAAAAGCACCGGCUAACUCUGUGCCAGCAGCCGCGGUAAUACAGAGGGUGCAAGCGUUAAUCGGAAUUACUGGGCGUAAAGCGUGCGUAGACGGUUAUUUAAGUCGGAUGUGAAAUCCCCGGGCUCAACCUGGGAAUUGCAUUCGAUACUGAACAGCUAGGGUGCGGAAGAGGGAAGCGGAAUUUCCGGUGUAGCGGUGAAAUGCGUAGAUAUCGGAAGGAACAUCAGUGGCGAAAGCGGCUUCCUGGUCCAGCACCGACGUUCAGGCACGAAAGCGUGGGGAGCAAACAGGAUUAGAUACCCUGGUAGUCCACGCCAUAAACGAUGAGGACUAGACGUUGGAAGGGUCAGCCUUUCAGUGUCGCAGCUAACGCGAUAAGUCCUCCGCCUGGGGAGUACGGCCGCAAGGUUGAAACUCAGAGGAAUUGACGGGGACCCGCACAAGCGGUGGAGCAUGUGGUUUAAUUCGAUGCAACGCGAAGAAACUUACCUGGUC